CCUACGGGAGGCAGCAGUGAGGAAUAUUGGUCAAUGGGCGCGAGCCUGAACCAGCCAAGUAGCGUGAAGGAUGACUGCCCUACGGGUUGUAAACUUCUUUUAUAAAGGAAUAAAGUGAGGCACUUGUGCCUUUUUGUAUGUACUUUAUGAAUGAGGAUCGGCUAACUCCGUGCCAGCAGCCGCGGUAAUACGGAGGAGCCGAGCGUUAUCCGGAUUUAUUGGGUUUAAAGGGAGCGUAGAUGGGGUGGUAAGUCAGUUGUGAAAGUUUGCGGCUCAACCGUAAAAUUGCAAUUGAUACUGGCAGCCUUGAGUACAGUUGAGGUAGGCGGAAUUCGUGGUGUAGCGGUGAAAUGCGUAGAUAUCACGAAGAACUCCGAUUGCGAAGGCAGCCUACUAAACUGUCACUGACAUUGAUGCUCGAAAGUGUGGGGAGCAAACAGGAUUAGAUACCCCUGUAGUC
RNAcentral lists this ribosomal RNA (460 nucleotides) under uncultured bacterium. RNAcentral describes it as "partial 16S ribosomal RNA". It matches the Rfam family "Bacterial small subunit ribosomal RNA", at positions 338 to 795 of the family's 1533-position model. The record is from RNAcentral.